AGUGAACGCUGGCGGUAGGCCUAACACAUGCAAGUCGAACGGCAGCACAGUAAGAGCUUGCUCUUACGGGUGGCGAGUGGCGGACGGGUGAGGAAUACAUCGGAAUCUACUUUUUCGUGGGGGAUAACGUAGGGAAACUUACGCUAAUACCGCAUACGACCUACGGGUGAAAGCAGGGGAUCUUCGGACCUUGCGCGAUUGAAUGAGCCGAUGUCGGAUUAGCUAGUUGGCGGGGUAAAGGCCCACCAAGGCGACGAUCCGUAGCUGGUCUGAGAGGAUGAUCAGCCAGACUGGAACUGAGACACAGUCCAGACUCCUACGGGAGGCAGCGGUGGAGAAUAUUGGACAAUGGACGCGAGCCUGAUCCAGCCAUACCGGGUGGAUGAUGAAGGCGUUCGGGUUGGAAAGCCAUUUUGUUGGGAAAGAAGAGCAGCAGGUUAAUACCCCGCUGUUCUGACGGUACCCAAAGAAUAAGCACCGGCUAACUUCGUG
This 492-nucleotide ribosomal RNA is filed under the name uncultured bacterium. RNAcentral describes it as "partial 16S ribosomal RNA". It matches the Rfam family "Bacterial small subunit ribosomal RNA", at positions 29 to 507 of the family's 1533-position model. The record is from RNAcentral.